GGGGUUGUGGCUCAGUGGUAGAGCACCUGCCUAGGAAGCAUGAGGCACUGGUUCAAUUUCCAGCCCCA
RNAcentral lists this transfer RNA (68 nucleotides) under Marmota monax (woodchuck). It matches the Rfam family "tRNA". Rfam says of the family: Transfer RNA (tRNA) molecules are approximately 80 nucleotides in length. Their secondary structure includes four short double-helical elements and three loops (D, anti-codon, and T loops). Further hydrogen bonds mediate the characteristic L-shaped molecular structure. tRNAs have two regions of fundamental functional importance: the anti-codon, which is responsible for specific mRNA codon recognition, and the 3' end, to which the tRNAs corresponding amino acid is attached (by aminoacyl-tRNA synthetases). tRNAs cope with the degeneracy of the genetic code in two manners: having more than one tRNA (with a specific anti-codon) for a particular amino acid; and 'wobble' base-pairing, i.e. permitting non-standard base-pairing at the 3rd anti-codon position. The record is from Rfam by way of RNAcentral. Lineage: Eukaryota; Metazoa; Chordata; Mammalia; Rodentia; Sciuridae.